AGGACUGGAGCAUAGAGCGUAAACAACUAAUUACCCAGAGAGAAGAACUUGUGAGCCCUGGUGUGACGGUGCAUCUGGUACCUCCUGCCAGAGCAACAACAAAUACAGAGUAACUCCCAGAACUGUUCCUGGACACCACAUGGUCAUAGUUGUAGGUGACCUUCUCCUCUGAACCCCGCUGGGAUGAAACCUCCUCCCCGUCCUUGCAGAAGAUGAUGCGGGUGGCCAGGAGCUGGGACAGCACGGAGCACUGGAGCCGCAUGGAGUCCCCUGGCUGGGCAGACGUCUGGCUCAGGUCCUGCUUCCCUUCUCCUGGCCCAAACCUCAGGGCAGCCUGGGCAGAAUUAGACCCAUCUCUCCAGCCCUAUGGAUGGAGCCAGAUGCUGCAGGACUAGAGAGCGACAGGCUGCUGCUCAGAAGAAGGAAGAGAGAGGAUAGUCACUGCUGUGAGCUGGGGGCUCCUGCUCCUCAACUAUCUGCACACACAGCCCAGCUGCUCUGUGCAGCUGCAGAGGGAGGGAACCACAGGACGAGCUGACAGCACCCUGAGCAUCUUCUCAUGCCUAGCCUGAGCUAGCUCUCCCCGGCCUGACUGAGUUAGCAGCCCAGCGAGGUGGGGGUGUAUC
Mauremys reevesii (Reeves's turtle) is the source of this 626-nucleotide long non-coding RNA. RefSeq lists it as uncharacterized. The transcript has 3 exons. NCBI's taxonomy places the organism in Eukaryota, Metazoa, Chordata, Testudines, Geoemydidae. The record is from RefSeq and is a predicted model, not a curated record.